GCCAGAGUGGCGGAAUGGCAGACGCGGCGGAUUCAAAAUCCGUAGUCCCUUACGGGGCGUGGGGGUUCAAGUCCCCCCUCUGGCACCA
Molecule: transfer RNA, 88 nt
Filed under: Planctomycetota bacterium
Lineage: Bacteria; Pseudomonadati; Planctomycetota
Description: Planctomycetes bacterium (bioreactor metagenome) tRNA-Leu
Rfam family: tRNA
About the family: Transfer RNA (tRNA) molecules are approximately 80 nucleotides in length. Their secondary structure includes four short double-helical elements and three loops (D, anti-codon, and T loops).
Source: RNAcentral